RNAcentral lists this ribosomal RNA (858 nucleotides) under uncultured bacterium. Its description in RNAcentral is "bacterial SSU rRNA". It matches the Rfam family "Bacterial small subunit ribosomal RNA", at positions 1 to 817 of the family's 1533-position model. The record is from RNAcentral.
CGGAGAGUUUGAUCCUGGCUCAGGAUGAACGCUGGCGGCGUGCCUAAUACAUGCAAGUCGAACGCUUUGUGGUUCAACUGAUUUGAAGAGCUUGCUCAGAUAUGACGAUGGACAUUGCAAAGAGUGGCGAACGGGUGAGUAACACGUGGGAAACCUACCUCUUAGCAGGGGAUAACAUUUGGAAACAGAUGCUAAUACCGUAUAACAAUAGCAACCGCAUGGUUGCUACUUAAAAGAUGGUCCUGCUAUCACUAAGAGAUGGUCCCGCGGUGCAUUAGUUAGUUGGUGAGGUAAUGGCUCACCAAGACGAUGAUGCAUAGCCGAGUUGAGAGACUGAUCGGCCACAAUGGGACUGAGACACGGCCCAUACUCCUACGGGAGGCAGCAGUAGGGAAUCUUCCACAAUGGGCGAAAGCCUGAUGGAGCAACGCCGCGUGUGUGAUGAAGGGUUUCGGCUCGUAAAACACUGUUGUAAGAGAAGAAUGACAUUGAGAGUAACUGUUCAAUGUGUGACGGUAUCUUACCAGAAAGGAACGGCUAAAUACGUGCCAGCAGCCGCGGUAAUACGUAUGUUCCAAGCGUUAUCCGGAUUUAUUGGGCGUAAAGCGAGCGCAGACGGUUAUUUAAGUCUGAAGUGAAAGCCCUCAGCUCAACUGAGGAAUUGCUUUGGAAACUGGAUGACUUGAGUGCAGUAGAGGAAAGUGGAACUCCAUGUGUAGCGGUGAAAUGCGUAGAUAUAUGGAAGAACACCAGUGGCGAAGGCGGCUUUCUGGACUGUAACUGACGUUGAGGCUCGAAAGUGUGGGUAGCAAACAGGAUUAGAUACCCUGGUAGUCCACACCGUAAACGAUGAGUGCU